GUAGGGUGAACCUGCGGAGGGAUCAUUA
RNAcentral lists this ribosomal RNA (28 nucleotides) under Colletotrichum karsti. RNAcentral describes it as "partial 18S ribosomal RNA". The record is from RNAcentral. RNAcentral also lists the same sequence under 1 other name. Lineage: Eukaryota; Fungi; Ascomycota; Sordariomycetes; Glomerellales; Glomerellaceae.